AACCCAUAAUGAAGGCAUCGCUUAAUAAGAUCCUUGAACCUUUCAUGUGCCUCGAAUAAUGUUUCAGACUUUCUUUGCUUGAUAGCUGAGAUCACCUGUAUGAUUUU
Dioscorea cayenensis subsp. rotundata (Guinea yam) is the source of this 107-nucleotide small nucleolar RNA. The record is from RefSeq and is a predicted model, not a curated record. NCBI's taxonomy places the organism in Eukaryota, Viridiplantae, Streptophyta, Magnoliopsida, Dioscoreales, Dioscoreaceae.